Non-coding RNA from Rattus norvegicus (Norway rat), 3268 nucleotides. NCBI's taxonomy places the organism in Eukaryota, Metazoa, Chordata, Mammalia, Rodentia, Muridae. The record is from RefSeq and is a predicted model, not a curated record.
ACUGGGGACAGGAGCUAGUUCACUAGUCCUGGUUAGAGUGCCUAAUUUUAAUGGCUAACUUGGUGGUCGUGAAGUCCGGAAGUGAACCGGGCUUUGUUCUCCCUUGUGGCCCUGCCCAGGGUUGAAAACAGGAGCAAAACAUUUGGCUGAGCUUUGCUGGGUUCAGCUCAAUCCCUCCCUUUUGCCCCUUAAUUGUUUUUCAACGAUUUCUGCACACAGGCAACGGAGCCCUGAACCUCCUGGGAGGAACUGCCUUUUUUUUUUUUAUGCGGACAGGGAUGAGUGGAGAUGCUUGAAUCGGUCUGUUCUAGCUGCAGGAAGCACAAGAUGCCUUCAGACCAUACUCUGUGCCAGAGCCUGGGGGAAGCCUCCCAGGGAGAGGGGCCCCACAGUGCCUGGAUACACCCUUGAGGAGGCCAGGCCCGCCUCGUGAAUAUGUAAGAGCCGGGUGUGGCUGGCCAACGGAAGAGGAGAGAGCCGCCGGCCCAGUCCAGUUAAGUCCCUUCAGCUUUGUCAAGCGAAGACCGGACCCAGAUUCCCUCCAAAGCCAGCGGGUGAGAAGACUGAGCCUCUUGUGAGCCUGUUUCCUGUUAUGACCUGUCUCUACACGCCGCCGCCGAGGAGCUGCGAAACAACUGCAGUGACUAAGCUUUAUAAAUAGGACAUUGAGAGUUAAAAAGUACAGGAAAUUCCCAGAGUCUCCCGCGGAGUCUUAUUUUAGGUGUGCAGCUCAGAGAAACCAGGGUCUCUCGUCCUGCAGAGGCAGUGCCUCUGCUCUACCUGAUGGGGGUGGAGGGUAGAGGGGGCUCUCUGGGUCCCUGCAGAGGGACGUGCCCAGCAUUUCUCUCUUGCCUUACUAGCUCUUACUGGCUCCCAGGAAGGAAGCACGUUUGUAAUUAGCACUUUGUGGAUUCACACCCAUGUCUGACUCACUCCUGAUCAAGAGAUUAAUCAUAUACUCAGGUCCCGCUGAACACAGAGUAAGCAUGUAACCAGACCAUAGGAGGUAGAGAGAGCCCUCUGAGUGACAGCACGGUGCCCUGGAAGUUUGAAUUAUCUUUCCCCUCCUCUCACAUUAUUGGAGCCGUGUUUUCUGGAAAACCAGUCCAGUUUGGAAUUAGUUGCUCAGUGGUCCCUGCUACCGCAGGGAUUGGCUUAUAGCACCGGCGGGAAGAGCUUCUGGCGGCAAAGGGGUUGCAGGCUCUGAGCUGAAGGGCUCAGCUUCUCGUGGGUUUCAGAUAGAAAGGCUGUUCAAAUAUUUGCCCAACAACUCCCAGUGUGCUUUGGAACAAGCCGCAGGAGGAGCCCUCGCUGAGUCACAGGAAGUGCAGGCAUUCGACAGAAAGGUGGAUGCGAGCAGGUUUACCAACUCUGGCUUCUCUGCUCUCACAAUUAGCCAGGCUGCCUCUCACCAGUGGCCUGGUGGCACCAGAGAACUCUGCUGAUAGGCAGCUCGAUGUGGUGGCACCUUAUGCAUUUUUCCCCCAAGGAACAUUAGGAGGCACACUCCAGUAGCUGAGUCUGCCCACGGUUUUCUGACCUGCAGAAUUGUAUCCUCAGCGAUCAGUGUGAGAUUUCUUCCACUGUUAAGUCCCCGAAGCAUCUAAAUCCAUCAAGUUCAAAACAGAACUCCCACACUGGCUGGAUUCUAGCCUUCGCCCCAUCAGUGAAUGGACCCACCUCCUCCUACACGCUCUGUAUGAAAACGUUGGUGCAUCUACGAAUCUGCAGCUGCUGCUCACCUGACCCUCCCUGGCUAAAACUGCCUAUCCCUGCUGCUGACCCAGGAGGCUCCCAAAUCUACCUUUGCCUGCCAAAAGAAUGGCACUGCCCCAAACAGGAACUGACCCAUCAACUAGGGUUCCAGAGUGAGAACACCCUAGAACACUGCCAGAGCCACAGAGAGCCCGUAAGGGAAACAGAUUGCAAACAGUAUGUUGAGCCACUGAGGCCUGGGCUCGUAUGUUACUGCAGCAAAACCCUGCCUGUCCUGACUGCUAUGAGGAUCAAGUUCUGGCUUCUCAGAUAAAUGGAAGAGAAAAAUGGAGGUGAUUGUGAUAGUGUGAAACAGAGAUAGGAAUCGACAUGCCAGAAAAGAGAGCCUGGAGACAGAGUGGCAAGAGAGGCUCGGGGUUGGGGAUUUAGCUCAGUGGUAGAGCGCUUGCCUAGCGAGCACAAGGCCCUGGGUUCGGUCCCCAGCUCUGAAAAAAAAAAAAAAAAGAAGAAGAAGAAGAAAAAAAAGAGAGGCUCUAGCAGGAGCUACCUUUCAAGAGACAUUUUAUGCCCUGGGUUUCAGGAACAGGUUGCACAUGACUUUGUUUGGGUUGCCAUAGAAAUCACUAAAGACCAAGUAAUUUAAGCCGCAGACAUUUAUUUUCUAACAGGUUUGGACAGUCUAAGAUCAAUGUGCCAGAGAGUUUGUUUAUAUUGCACCCUGUCCUCUUUCCGAAUUACAUACAGCCACGUGAGAGCUCAGCCUGGCCUGCCCACUCUGCCAGACAGGACAGCACAGCUGGGCAGACCAAUUCUCUCUAGGGCCUUCCAGCUCAGUGGAGUUGAGGAAUGAAGAGUAGAGAGGAGAGGGAGGUUCCAGAGGCAUCAUGAUUGAUGUGUGGCUCAUGUGUCCUUUUCUUUUGAAAGAGAAAAAGGCCUCUGCAUUAGAGCAGGGUAGAGAGCUGUUUAAAGGGAAUAGUAGGAACAGCAGGAGUUGGAGAGACAAGAAGGAAAGAGAAUUCGCUAAUACACUCAUUGUUCCAAAAUACCACAAUAAUAACUUGUAAGUGACUUGUAGUUUGGAUCGAUAUGACCCCCAUAGACUUUCAUUUGAAUGCUUGUCCACAGGAAGUGGCACUAUUAGGAGGUGUGGCCUUAUUGGAGAAAGUGUGUCACUCAUGGGCUGGCUUUGAGGUCAUAUAUGCACAAGCUACACCCAGUGUGAUACACGUACACGGUCUCUCCCUACUGCCUUCGAUUUAAAAUGUACAACUCUUGGCUGAGUCUCCAGGUCCAGCAUCACCUUCGUCUGUCUGGAUGCUACCAUGCUCUCUGCCAUGAUGAUAAUGCACUAAACCUCUGAAACGGUGAGCCAGCCCCAAUUAGAUGUUUCCCUUCAUAAGAGUUGCCAUGGUAAUGGUGUCUCUUCAUAUCAAUAAAACCCAAAUUAAGACAGGAGUUAAAAUAUUUGAAUAUAUAUAUAAUUUAUAUAUAUAUAUAAACAUUAUAUAUGGCAUAUAAUAAAUAUAAUAAAUAAACAUACAUAUACAAAAGA